AACACAUGCAAGUCGAACGAAGUGCCUUCGGUGCUUAGUGGCGCACGGGUGCGUAACGCGUGGGAAUCUGCCCCUUGGUUCGGAAUAACAGUUGGAAACGACUGCUAAUACCGGAUGAUGACGUAAGUCCAAAGAUUUAUCGCCGAGGGAUGAGCCCGCGUAGGAUUAGGUAGUUGGUGUGGUAAAGGCGCACCAAGCCGACGAUCCUUAGCUGGUCUGAGAGGAUGAUCAGCCACACUGGGACUGAGACACGGCCCAGACUCCUACGGGAGGCAGCAGUGGGGAAUAUUGGACAAUGGGCGAAAGCCUGAUCCAGCAAUGCCGCGUGAGUGAUGAAGGCCUUAGGGUUGUAAAGCUCUUUUACCCGGGAUGAUAAUGACAGUACCGGGAGAAUAAGCUCCGGCUAACUCC
Molecule: ribosomal RNA, 411 nt
Filed under: grassland soil clone sl1_219
Lineage: Bacteria
Description: bacterial SSU rRNA
Rfam family: Bacterial small subunit ribosomal RNA
Source: RNAcentral